AAUAUAUAGGUAACGUGCCCUAGAGAGGGGGAUAACAGAUGGAAACGUCUGCUAACACCCCAUAUGCCUUUGUCACAAAAGUGAGCAAGGGAAAUAUUUAUAGCUCUAGGAUCGGCCUGUACGGUAUCAGCUAGUUGGUGAGGUAAUGGCUCACCAAGGCAAUGACACCUAACUGGUUUGAGAGGAUGAUCAGUCACACUGGAACUGAGACACGGUCCAGACUCCUACGGGAGGCAGCAGUGGGGAAUAUUGCACAAUGGACGAAAGUCUGAUGCAGCAACGCCGCGUGGAGGAUGACACAUUUCGGUGCGUAAACUCCUUUUAUAUAGGAAGAUAAUGACGGUACUAUAUGAAUAAGCACCGGCUAACUCCGUGCCAGCAGCCGCGGUAAUACGGAGGGUGCAAGCGUUACUCGGAAUUACUGGGCGUAAAGAGCGUGUAGGCGGGUAAAUAAGUUGGAAGUGAAAUCCUAUGGCUCAACCAUAGAACUGCUUCCAAAACUGUUAACCUAGAAUGUGGGAGAGGUAGAUGGAAUUUCUGGUGUAGGGGUAAAAUCCGUAGAUAUCAGAAGGAAUACCGAUUGCGAAGGCGAUCUACUGGAACAUAAUUGACGCUGAGACGCGAAAGCGUGGGGAGCAAACAGGAUUAGAUACCCUGGUAGUCCACGCCCUAAACGAUGUACACUAGUUGUUGUGAGGCUAGACCUUGCAGUAAUGCAGUUAACACAUUAAGUGUACCGCCUGGGGAGUACGGUCGCAAGAUUAAAACUCAAAGGAAUAGACGGGGACCCGCACAAGCGGUGGAGCAUGUGGUUUAAUUCGACUAUACGCGAGAACCUUACCAACCCUUGAAUGCAUAUCAACGCUUUAGGAGACUAAAGCUUCGGGUAAUGCUGGAUUUGCACAGGUGUUGCAUGGCCGUCGUCAGCUCGUGUUGUGAAAUGUUGGGUUAAGUCCCAAAACGAGCGAAACCCUCUUCUUUAGUUGCUACUUUUUAGUUUUUAGAAAUUAAAAAGAGAACUCUAGAGAUAGGUUCAGCCAAUUAUUUGGUUUGAAGGAAGAUGAGGACGACGUCAGGUAAUCAUGGCCCUUAUGGGUUGGGCUACACAUGUCUACAAUGGCACUUACAGAGGGCUGCAAAGAAGAAAUUCUGAGCUUAAUCCCUUAAAGAGUGCCCUAGUUCGGAUUGUUCUCUGGAACUCGAGAACAUGAAGCCGGAAUCGCUAGUAAUCGCGAAUCAGAACGUCGCGGUGAAUACGUUAUCGGGCCUUGUACACACCGCCCGUCACGCCAUUGGAGUUGAUUUUGUUGGAAGCUAAUUGUUAAAAAUAUUAGUGAAAAUAGAGUUGAUGACCGUGGUGAAGUCGUAACAAGGUA
RNAcentral lists this ribosomal RNA (1376 nucleotides) under metagenome. Its description in RNAcentral is "bacterial SSU rRNA". It matches the Rfam family "Bacterial small subunit ribosomal RNA". The record is from RNAcentral.